AUGGAUCGAUGUGUCUACAUACAUAGAUUCUGUUUAUGGAUUAACGAAAAUGUACAAGAGCUCUAUUUGCCUCUGCCAUUCUAUGAGUCACUUAAUUGUUCUCUAAUAGCACCUGCUCCUGACACAAUUUCCCGAUCUUAA
This 141-nucleotide ribosomal RNA is filed under the name Triticum aestivum (bread wheat). RNAcentral's name for it is "partial small subunit ribosomal RNA". The record is from RNAcentral. Lineage: Eukaryota; Viridiplantae; Streptophyta; Magnoliopsida; Poales; Poaceae.